This 71-nucleotide transfer RNA is filed under the name Camelus bactrianus (Bactrian camel). It matches the Rfam family "tRNA". Rfam says of the family: Transfer RNA (tRNA) molecules are approximately 80 nucleotides in length. Their secondary structure includes four short double-helical elements and three loops (D, anti-codon, and T loops). Lineage: Eukaryota; Metazoa; Chordata; Mammalia; Artiodactyla; Camelidae. RNAcentral also lists the same sequence under 2 other names. The record is from Rfam by way of RNAcentral.
AAGGGUAUAGCUCAGUGGUAGAGCAUGUGCUUAGCAUGCAUGAGGUCCUGGUUCAAUUCCCAGCACCUCAA